RNAcentral lists this ribosomal RNA (274 nucleotides) under uncultured bacterium. Its description in RNAcentral is "partial 16S ribosomal RNA". It matches the Rfam family "Bacterial small subunit ribosomal RNA", at positions 523 to 796 of the family's 1533-position model. The record is from RNAcentral.
AUACGGAGGGUGCAAGCGUUAUUCGGAAUCACUGGGCGUAAAGGACGCGUAGGCGGGUUGGCAAGUCAGAUGUGAAAUCCUACAGCUUAACUGUAGAACUGCAUUUGAAACUGCUAACCUAGAGUAUGGGAGGGGGAGAUGGAGUUAGUGGUGUAGGGGUAAAAUCCGCAGAUAUCACUAGGAAUACCGAAAGCGAAGGCGAUCUCCUGGAACAUAACUGACGCUAAGGCGUGAAAGCGUGGGGAGCAAACAGGAUUAGAAACCCCAGUAGUCC